Molecule: ribosomal RNA, 429 nt
Filed under: Chloroflexota bacterium
Lineage: Bacteria; Bacillati; Chloroflexota
Description: Chloroflexi bacterium partial 16S ribosomal RNA
Rfam family: Bacterial small subunit ribosomal RNA
Source: RNAcentral
UGGGGAAUAUUGCACAAUGGGCGCAAGCCUGAUGCAGCCAUGCCGCGUGUGUGUAGAAGGCCUUCGGGUUGUAAAGCACUUUCAGCGGGGAGGAAGGCGUUAAGGUUAAUAACCUUGGCGAUUGACGUUACCCGCAGAAGAAGCACCGGCUAACUCCGUGCCAGCAGCCGCGGUAAUACGGAGGGUGCAAGCGUUAAUCGGAAUUACUGGGCGUAAAGCGCACGCAGGCGGUCUGUCAAGUCGGAUGUGAAAUCCCCGGGCUCAACCUGGGAACUGCAUUCGAAACUGGCAGGCUAGAGUCUUGUAGAGGGGGGUAGAAUUCCAGGUGUAGCGGUGAAAUGCGUAGAGAUCUGGAGGAAUACCGGUGGCGAAGGCGGCCCCCUGGACAAAGACUGACGCUCAGGUGCGAAAGCGUGGGGAGCAAACAGG